AAUCUUAUGGCUGGAGCGGACCAGAAACUAGCCCUUCCUUUGUAAACGAAACCGAUAAAAAGCUCGGGAAAUAAUUUUCUGGAGCUGUUUUCUUCCCAAGCGACUACAGUCUAGAUGUGACUUGCUCAGCCGCAGAAAUAUUUGGUUCGAGUGAAAUUGACUGCAUACGUUGGAUCGUAGAAGUAGCAUUGAGCAAAAUCAAGCGAAAAUAUUGAUUGGUUUGGAAUUGCCCAUUGGUGGUAACACUACCGGAAAAUAUCGAGUUAAUUGGAUGACCGCAGAGGACGGAACUAAGAUUGGGCAGAAUGCUAACAAUUUCGGUGUGGUUCUUAUGAGGAAAAGCAGAAACUCCGGUACACAGUGAAUUCUCAAGACAUUAAAGCGACAAUCAACCGGACGACUUCUUACCAGAUGUGUCAGCCUCACUGCAUCGUCCAGAUCAGCCGCUCCGACAUCUGUUUUAAUAAAGCUAGGGAAGAUGUCGUCAAUCCUCAGUUCACAUUCUGGAUGUACUUGCUGCUUCGUUUAAUCUUUGACGUGUUCAUGUCUGGAUCUGCCACUUUGUUUGAUGGAACCCUCAUUGGUUUUGGUCAACGAAGUCGGUGGUGAUUAUGGUUUCCAGAAAAUGUUUGGAUUUAUUGGACUUGCAACAUUUUCACUUAUUUCCGGGGCAUUGAUAGACUACUUUAGUGAAGGUGUUCAAGGGAAUAUCCGGCCUGCCUUCUAUUUGUUCGCCGUUUUUUUUUUGGAAUUGCUACAAUUGGAAUGCUGACAAUCAAUCUCAACUUUAAACCUCCGGCGAAAAACCUUUUUAAAGAUUUUAAAGUCAUUACUGAAAAACGUGGAAUUGGAUCUCUUACUGUUCAUCGCUUAUAUUUCUGGCAAGCUGACUCAGAAAUUGAACAAGUAUAUUUAGUAAAACUAAUAUUGGGUUUCGGUUGUUUCUGUCCAAUCGGUGGCUCUGAUUCCGCUGCUUAUCUUCUCCGAUCGCAUCUUCCGGAAGUUGAGUCAUCCAAACGUUCAAGUCAUUUGCUUAGGCGUCAGCGUCAUUCGACUUACAGGAUAUUCCUAUCUGCAAGAUCCGCGUUUGUGUGUCCUAUUGGAGAGAGAGAGAGGCAAUUUCCUGGAAUUUCGCCCGAAUUUCCCACGUCGCCUACGCUAAUGUACUAAGAACAAAGACUACUAUAGCUUCUAUUCACGGAUUACUGUCAGGGAUCACCUAUGGCUUAGGGUGCGGAACUGGCAGUAUUGGUGGAGGUUUGCUUAUCGGAGUGUACGGCCUUCGCGUAACCUUCCGCAUUUUGGGUGCCAUCUCUUUCAUAACUGGCCUUCUCUACUUCCUGAUCAACAUCUUCUAUUUGCAUCAGAAAAAAGACGCAAAACCCAAGAAUUCUCAAAAGGUAGAUCAAAAUUCCAAUGUCACUUGCUGUUAAUAAUUUAAAACCUUGUAUAAUAACUUAUAUGAAUGGAGCCUAUUCAAUAUCCGCAUUCGCAAUGUACAUGACAAGAUGAGGCGAAAAACAAGCAAACGUA
This is a long non-coding RNA of Daphnia pulicaria, 1533 nucleotides long. RefSeq lists it as uncharacterized. The record is from RefSeq and is a predicted model, not a curated record. The transcript is spliced from 4 exons. Lineage: Eukaryota; Metazoa; Arthropoda; Branchiopoda; Diplostraca; Daphniidae.